This 340-nucleotide unclassified non-coding RNA is filed under the name Hevea brasiliensis (rubber tree). Lineage: Eukaryota; Viridiplantae; Streptophyta; Magnoliopsida; Malpighiales; Euphorbiaceae. The record is from RNAcentral.
GAUCUUUUGACUGAUUACUAUAAGGAGAAAAGCAAAGUGAUUGAGAGGGAGUCUAAACGAGCAAAGGCUAAGAAGAAUUACAAUUCUGAUGAAGAUGACAAUGGCAAAGAAGCUUUACUAUCAAGAAAAAUUAAUGAGUGCCACAAUCAGAUGAGAGAAAUGAGUGGUGAGGAAGAGAUCUCCACAUGGGGUGUACAGGUUUUUGGAAAUCAGAAACCCCCACCGCCUCUUGUUUUUCCUGAGCUUGGAAGUUGCUCCUUAUUGCAGUCUUUUAUGAGCAAUAAACACCACACUUUGAUCGAACUGAGUACAGAAAAUGGGGACAAUUUUCUAGAAGGAU